UACGUAGGGGGCAAGCGUUGUCCGGAAUCAUUGGGCGUAAAGCGCACGUAGGCGGCCUCGCAAGUCAGAUGUGAAAUCCCUCGGCUUAACCAAGGAAGUGCAUUUGAAACUGCAAGGCUUGAAUAUUGGAGAGGGUCGCAGAAUUCUCGGUGUAGAGGUGAAAUUCGUAGAUAUCGGGAGGAAUACCAGUGGCGAAGGCGGCGACCUGGCCAAAUAUUGACGCUGAGGUGCGAAAGCGUGGGGAGCAAACAGG
RNAcentral lists this ribosomal RNA (253 nucleotides) under uncultured bacterium. RNAcentral describes it as "partial 16S ribosomal RNA". It matches the Rfam family "Bacterial small subunit ribosomal RNA", at positions 524 to 776 of the family's 1533-position model. The record is from RNAcentral.